This 701-nucleotide ribosomal RNA is filed under the name uncultured bacterium. Its description in RNAcentral is "bacterial SSU rRNA". It matches the Rfam family "Bacterial small subunit ribosomal RNA", at positions 28 to 697 of the family's 1533-position model. The record is from RNAcentral.
GACGAACGCUGGCGGCGUGCCUAAUACAUGCAAGUCGAACGAGAAUUUUUUACACCGAGUGCUUGCACUCACCGUAAGAAAUUCGAGUGGCGGACGGGUGAGUAACACGUGGGUAACCUGCCCAAAAGAAGGGGAUAACAUUUGGAAACAAAUGCUAAUACCGUAUAACCAUGAUGACCGCAUGGUCAUGAUGUAAAAGGUGGUUUUGCUAUCGCUUUUGGAUGGACCCGCGGCGUAUUAACUAGUUGGUGGGGUAACGGCCUACCAAGGUGAUGAUACGUAGCCGAACUGAGAGGUUGAUCGGCCACAAUGGGACUGAGACACGGCCCAUACUCCUACGGGAGGCAGCAGUAGGGAAUCUUCCACAAUGGACGGAAGUCUGAUGGAGCAACGCCGCGUGAAUGAAGAAGGUCUUCGGAUCGUAAAAUUCUGUUGUUAGAGAAGAAUAUGAGUAAUAGUAACUGAUUAUUCACUGACGGUAUCUAACCAGCAAGUCACGGCUAACUACGUGCCAGCAGCCGCGGUAAUACGUAGGUGGCAAGCGUUGUCCGGAUUUAUUGGGCGUAAAGGGAACGCAGGCGGUUUUUUAAGUCUGAUGUGAAAGCCUUCGGCUUAACCGAAGAAGUGCAUUGGAAACUGGAAGACUUGAGUGCAGAAAAGGAGAGUGGAACUCCAUGUGUAGCGGUGAAAUGCGUAGAUAU